This 473-nucleotide ribosomal RNA is filed under the name uncultured bacterium. Its description in RNAcentral is "bacterial SSU rRNA". It matches the Rfam family "Bacterial small subunit ribosomal RNA", at positions 30 to 490 of the family's 1533-position model. The record is from RNAcentral.
ACUGAACGCUGGCGGCAUGCCUUACACAUGCAAGUCGAACGGCAGCAUGGAAGAGCUUGCUCUUCUGAUGGCGAGUGGCGAACGGGUGAGUAAAGCAUCGGAACGUACCGUGUAGUGGGGGAUAACGUAGCGAAAGUUACGCUAAUACCGCAUACGCACUGAGGUGGAAAGCAGGGGAUCGCAAGACCUUGCGCUAUACGAGCGGCCGAUGUCAGAUUAGCUAGUUGGUAGGGUAAAGGCCUACCAAGGCGACGAUCUGUAGCGGGUCUGAGAGGAUGAUCCGCCACACUGGGACUGAGACACGGCCCAGACUCCUACGGGAGGCAGCAGUGGGGAAUUUUGGACAAUGGGCGAAAGCCUGAUCCAGCCAUGCCGCGUGAGUGAAGAAGGCCUUCGGGUUGUAAACUGCUUUGUACGGUAACGAAAAGGUACUGGGUUAAUACCCUGGCUCAUGACGGUACCGUAAGAAUAAG